RNAcentral lists this long non-coding RNA (483 nucleotides) under Mytilus galloprovincialis (Mediterranean mussel). Lineage: Eukaryota; Metazoa; Mollusca; Bivalvia; Mytilida; Mytilidae. The record is from RNAcentral.
CCAUUGCACAAUGAAAAUUCAUUCAUGUAUAACAUUUCUAUAUUUAGCAAUGCAAUACAUGGAAAACUAUGUUUAAAAAAACAGUUUAUAUAAAACUAGAUGUGCAGGUAGUAAUUUUUAACAAUAUUUACUCACAGAGCCGUUUUAUGAUUGCCAAUGAUAUACUUAUCCAACCGAGGUAAAAUGAAGCAAAUAAAAGCAAGUCACCGUACGGUCAAAAUUGAGAAACAACUCAAACGAUAAAAGAAAUCAAAAGUCUCAUUUAUAACAAUGCGAUUAACGAAAGGCAAAUAGGACAGACAUGUUCUAAGUAAACAACAACCAUUUAUUUACAUCCUCUUGGAUAUGGCAAUCAACAAUGGGGCGGGGUUUUAAGACUUUUGUUAGCCCUCAUUCCUCAUGUUCCUAUGUAUUAACGUCUUUAGCAAAGACUAGAUGACUAAAAUGAAAACCUCAAUUGUAUGACAAAGCGACCUUCUGAAC